RNAcentral lists this ribosomal RNA (450 nucleotides) under uncultured bacterium. Its description in RNAcentral is "partial 16S ribosomal RNA". It matches the Rfam family "Bacterial small subunit ribosomal RNA", at positions 354 to 796 of the family's 1533-position model. The record is from RNAcentral.
GUGGGGAAUAUUGGACAAUGGGCGAAAGCCUGAUCCAGCCAUGCCGCGUGUGUGAAGAAGGUCUUCGGAUUGUAAAGCACUUUAAGUUGGGAGGAAGGGCAGUAAGUUAAUACCUUGCUGUUUUGACGUUACCGACAGAAUAAGCACCGGCUAACUUCGUGCCAGCAGCCGCGGUAAUACGAAGGGUGCAAGCGUUAAUCGGAAUUACUGGGCGUAAAGCGCGCGUAGGUGGUUUUGUAAGUUGGAGGUGAAAUCCCCGGGCUCAACCUGGGAACUGCCUCCAAAACUGCAUGACUAGAGUACGGUAGAGGGUAGUGGAAUUUCCUGUGUAGCGGUGAAAUGCGUAGAUAUAGGAAGGAACACCAGUGGCGAAGGCGACUACCUGGACUGAUACUGACACUGAGGUGCGAAAGCGUGGGGAGCAAACAGGAUUAGAAACCUGGGUAGUCC